GACGAACGCUGGCGGCGUGCCUAACACAUGCAAGUCGAGCGAGGAGAGUUCCUUCGGGAACAAACCUAGCGGCGGACGGGUGAGUAACACGUGGGCAACCUGCCUUGUAGAGGGGAAUAGCCUUCCGAAGGAAGAUUAAUACCGCAUAACAUUACAGUUUCGCAUGAAACAGUAAUUAAAGGAGUAAUCCGCUACAAGAUGGGCCCGCGGCGCAUUAGCUAGUUGGUGAGGUAAUGGCUCACCAAGGCGACGAUGCGUAGCCGACCUGAGAGGGUGAUCGGCCACAUUGGGACUGAGACACGGCCCAGACUCCUACGGGAGGCAGCAGUGGGGAAUAUUGCACAAUGGGGGAAACCCUGAUGCAGCAACGCCGCGUGAGUGAUGAAGGUUUUCGGAUCGUAAAGCUCUGUCUUCGGGGACGAUAAUGACGGUACCCGAGGAGGAAGCCACGGCUAACUACGUG
This 463-nucleotide ribosomal RNA is filed under the name uncultured bacterium. RNAcentral describes it as "bacterial SSU rRNA". It matches the Rfam family "Bacterial small subunit ribosomal RNA", at positions 28 to 507 of the family's 1533-position model. The record is from RNAcentral.